CGAUGGACAGCUGGUUAAUAAUCCAGCACCGAUAUCAGGGAGUGAAGGAGAGACACAAUAAGGGAGUCCAGCCUAUUAGUGGAUUUAGGUGGAUGAACGACAGGCGAAGAGAGCUGGAGUAAAAAGCCCAGCUUGAGCUGAGGGAAGUCAGGAGGCGUAAGCCGGAACUGAGAUGGACCUUGUUGUCAAGAAAAUCUUCUAAGCGAUGAAAUGAUAUUGCCCGUACCGCAAACCGACACUGGUAGAUGAGUAGAGAAUACUAAGACGAACGGGAGAACUAUCGUUAAGGAACUAGGCAAAAUAGCCCCGUAACUUAGGGAGAAGGGGUGCUCAAGAUUCUGAUAAAUAGGGAUCAUGAGUCGCAGUGAAAGGGUUCUAGUGACUGGUUAGCAAAACCACAGGUCUCUGCGAAGUCGAAAGACGAAGUAUAGGGGCUGACGCCUGCCCAGUGCCGGAAGGUUAAGUGGAGGGGUUAGUGUUGAAAGACACGAAGCUCAGAAAUGAAGCCCCGGUGAACGGCGGCCGCAACUAUAACGGUCCUAAGGUAGCGAAAUUCCUUGUCGGGUAAGUUCCGACCCGCACGAACGGCGUAACAACUAGAACGCUGUCUCAACGAUAGACCCGGUGAAAUUGAAAUGGCUGUGAAGAUGCGGCCUACCCGCAGCAGGACAAAAAGACCCCGUGGAGCUUUACUGUAACUUGGCAUUGAGUUUAGGUAUAAUUUGUGUAGGAUAGGUGGGAGACUGAGAAACUAGGGCGCCAGCCUUGGUGGAGUCAGCAGUGAAAUACCACCCUGAUGAUAUUUGGGCUCUAACCCUACGCCGAAAACCGGGUAGGGGACCGUGUCAGGCAGGCAGUUUGACUGGGGCGGUCGCCUCCAAAAAGGUAACGGAGGCGCCCAAAGGUUCCCUCAGACAGAAUGGAAACCUGUCGGAGAGUGUAAAGGCAGAAGGGAGCUUAACUGCAAGACCAACGCGUCGAGCAGAUACGAAAGUAGGGCUUAGUGAUCCCACGAUACAGAGUGGAAUGGUCGUGGCUUACCGGAUAAAAGCUACCCCGGGGAUAACAGGCUGGUGAAGUCCAAGAGUUCACAUCGACGACUUCGCUCGGCACCUCGAUGUCGGCUCAUCGCAUCCUGGGGCUGUACAAGGUCCCAAGGGUCCGGCUGUUCGCCGGUUAAAGCGGUACGCGAGCUGGGUUCAGACCGUCGUGAGACAGGUCGGUCUCUAUCCGCUGUGGGCGAAAGAGAAUUGAGAAGGGCUGCCCCUAGUACGAGAGGACCGGGGUGGACAAACCUCUGGUGUGUCAGUUGUAAUGCCAAUUGCAAAGCUGAGUAGCCACGUUGGGGAGAGAUAACCGCUGAAAGCAUCUAAGUGGGAAACUCGCUUCAAGAUAAGUUCUCUUAUCAGGAAUGAAUAAGAUCGCACGGAGACUACGUGCUAGAUAGGCUGGAGGUGAGAGUUCAGUGAUGGAUUGAGCAAACCAGUACUAAUGAUCGAAGGCUUGAGACG
Molecule: ribosomal RNA, 1511 nt
Filed under: metagenome
Description: bacterial LSU rRNA
Rfam family: Bacterial large subunit ribosomal RNA
Source: RNAcentral